RNAcentral lists this ribosomal RNA (464 nucleotides) under uncultured bacterium. RNAcentral describes it as "partial 16S ribosomal RNA". It matches the Rfam family "Bacterial small subunit ribosomal RNA", at positions 28 to 507 of the family's 1533-position model. The record is from RNAcentral.
GAUGAACGCUGGCGGCGUGCUUAACACAUGCAAGUCGAACGGAAAGACCCUAAUUGUAGGGUACUCGUGUGGCGAACGGGUGAGUAACAAGUGGGUGAACUGCCCUGCACUUAGGCUGAAGUAUGGGAAACUAGGUCUAAUACAGGCUAGGAAACAUUUUUAAUGUGAUGGUUGGAAAGUUUUAUCGGUUUAGGAUGGUCUUGCGGCCUAUCAGCGUGCUGGUGGAGUAAUGGCCUACCAAGGCGGCGGCGGGUAGCCGGCCUGGGAGGGUGGACGGGCACAUUAGUACUGCGGUAGGGCCCAGACGCCUACGGGAGGCAGCGGGGGGAAGUAUGACGCAAUGGCGGCGAGCGUGAGACAGAGGCCCCGCGUGCGUGAUACUGUCCUUCGGGUUGUGAACUCAUUUCGCUGGGGAUGUGGAUAUUUUGACGGUACCUAAAUAAGAAGCACCGGCUAACUACGUG